AUUUUAUAUUGAUAAGAAAGUCGCCCAAUUUCCGGUAUUAUUGUGGGCAACACGAAAAAAACAAAAUACGAAGCAGCUGACUGAUGCCAUAUGAGAGCGUCACCACAGGCACCAAAAGUGGAGCAUGACCUCGAGAAUAGUAGUAAUAUACUGCAAUGUUAAAGGGAAUAAUAGAAAAGAAUAGAAUAAAUGCAAAAUGGCAUAAAGAAUAUGAUGAAUAUAGAGUAGAAAAACUAAGUCAAGUCUUGGAGCACAUAACAUAACAUGACAAAUAGAAUAGAAUAGACACCUUGCUGACUUAAUAUAACAUUUAAAAAUGAAGCCACUGGUUAAAUGUGUCCAAAAGACUCCAGCUGUCACGCUGUAAUUACCCCCUGAUGUGCGGCUACACGUGAUCACACUCAGCGAUCUGAAAAAAACAAUAAAGGUUGUGUGUGUUUGACACAUGCAUGUAAUAGGGUGUCAUGGCGCGUCGUUACCACCAGGGGUCGCGGCACACUAACAUGUUGCUGGUCAGGGAGGCAACAUGAGAGGUGUGAGGAACCUGGGAUGUACAGUAUAUAGCCUCCUGAGCAGCAUCGAUAAGAAGGGAACACCUUGAGAGAGCCGCAGACGAGCCGCCCCGGAGCCGCCGGAGCCGCAGCCGAGCGCGGCUUGGGCGUGUGGCGCAUGUGGACUGGGCGAGCCAACACACCGCAGGAAUGUGUGCAGUUACAGGCAAAGAUACACGCUCGGACAUUACUCUGUGUAGUGCGCUUGGGCGUUUUUAAGUCUUCUUUCAGAAUAAUUGGAAAUACGGGGCCACACUGCUGCGCCCCCGACGGAAACCUAUAAUUGGAGACGAGCCAGUGACGCGCUGAAAAUAACCAGGUUACCACUUAGCACCGGUCCAUUUUGGGGAGGGCCCAACACGAGGGCGCAGCACCAUAUAUCAGCUCCUUCCAGCUGUUUGGGAAUACCCUGCUCACAAUACCGAGGCUGCAGCAUGGCAGUAGCAACAGCAGGCUCCUUUCUCUCUCCGCCUCCCCGGUUGUCUCUUUCCAGAAUGGAUAUUGGCUUGGUGGCUCAGAACCUAUUGUGGAGCUAACAUGGCUGCCAACAAUAAGACAUGAUGACAUUGUCCUGUUUUCAUGCUGGAGGCCUCCCAGUAAGGAGUUCUCUUGAACACCUCUUCAGUGUGACAUGGAGACGAGCCCGUAACCACCAGCGGAGCCGAGCUGAGCGCCAGAGCUGCUUUAGAGCCCUGCUGAGCCCUGCCAGACCCACAGCUUUCCCUGCUAGGGGCCUCGGCUCGCAGUCAGAGUGAGUUACAACCCAUGCUCCUGACACACUCAUGCUAAUGCAGAAACAGACAUACAGAUAGCUUAAAUAUGUAUAGUAUGUAGGCAUGCAGACGCACACAUAUGUGGAGUAUAUGUGUACAACCAUAAACCAAUACACACACACAGACAGAAAAAAUACUGUAUGUAAGCAUGCAGACAAAUGCAAAUGUAUACACACACAUGCAAGUAACACCCACAUAAUGAUACCCCACUAACAGUGAGUGUAGCCCCAUUGGACCAUGCUUGCACACAUGCAGCAAAGUGAGCAUGUCCUCUUACAGGAGCUCUAUUUGGUAGGGUUAGUUUAAGGUCAAGGUCUGGCAGCUGCUGGAUCAGCUGGAUUGAUCUGUCUGGGUAAACAUGUAGUGAAAAUGAGCAUGCUUGUGAUUAAAGGCUUAGCAGAAAGUGUGUGUCAGUGUGUGCGUGACCAAGCCAGUGAGACACAGCAUCAAUAUGUGACUGUAUAUAUACUGUGUAGAAGAGAUCAAUGCACAGAUACAGUAUAUCAGCUGCAUGGGCGUGUCAAUAUGUGCUUCUAAAUUAAUAUUUUUUUUCGUCAUGGCUCAGACAGGAUCACCCUGCAUGCUGUCUCAAGAUGAUGAGAUGAAGCAAGUAGUCUUAAGUUUACAGAAUGGAAUCGAUCCCAAAAGCUCCUGGUUCAGUGCCAUGUUUCAUGUUUCAUAUUUGUUUUACUGAAAAAGCCAAUGAAUGAUGAAAAGUCUGCAGAUGAAACGUCUUUAAUGAUUCACUGUGCACCCUGUAAACUGAACUAUGGUGACAUCCACAAGUGUCAACUGUAGUACAGUUGAUGUAUGGUUUGAUUAUGUAACUAAAAACAUUUUUAAGGCUAAGGGAGGAUUGUAGUCAAGGUAAAUAAACUAUAUGGUUAAGGUGUGGCUAAGUUUGAGCAACUAAAAACACUGGGUUAAAGGUGAACUCUAUCGAUUUUACACAUCAAAGUCCGUUUACAGGUCUUGGGGAGUACUUCUGCAUAAGUGAAGUUGUAUAGCCUUUUGUGGCUCCAAAGGGAGCUAUGCAAAAUCUUACAAAUUGCCUCAAGUGAUGUCACUUGAGUCAGCAUGGGUUGGGGCUGAAGACUGCACGUUAGAAAAUGAAAUAAAUCUGGGGGUGUAGAAUUAGAAAGAAGUGAGCUCACCCGACCUCUGUAGCUGGCUCCUCAUCUCUGCUUGACGCUAUAUUAGCCGCUACUAGCAUAACACACCUGAAUCUCCAACUCAACUGUUGUUGCAUUGUGGGUAAUGUAGGCUCCAGGUUUUGACAAGGAAGAAGAAUGCAUGAAAUAAAAAAAAAAAGAUGAUAUCUCUGGAUCUGCUGCAAUGAUUUUGAUCCUUUAAAAAAAACAAAAAAAUGUCCUACAAUGUUAUGGGAGAGCAAUGCUAAAUCGAUGGAGUACUCUUAUAAGAUCAGGGAAAGUUGAUGUUCAUGUUUACAUAUUAAAAUAUAUUGGUAUGAGGAAGCUGUAAAAGUAUGUCAUGUUUGGAGGGCCCAAGCUCAAAUUGAACUUUGCAAAGAUUCACAAGGGUCCAUGAAGACUGUGUGGACCAUGUGCACUGACUGUACACAGUGAGUGCACGUGUGUGGAUACACGUCUGUGUCCGUUUUGGAGUUUAUCAGGCCUUUAGGCAACAAAAAUGUUUGAGUGACACAACAGUCGUACUUGCCUUCAGUUACAGAACGUGGUUGUCAUUCCUUUUUACAACUGAGCUGUAUCUGGACAUAACCAUAUUUGGCACUCACAUGAGGGCUGACAAACCAUUUUGUGCUGGCUGUACGAAUGUAUCUCACAGCAGUAAUAUAUUGUGUGUGUGUGCAUGCGUGGCUAUAGAGCUUGUGUCUACAUUAAUCCCAGGAAUGUUGAUGUGGUCCAGAGUUUAAUAGAAUGAGGCGUGGGUGUGGAGUAAGAGUCCCCCGAAGCAGAGUUAAGGUCUUAAAGUACAAAAAGCCUUGACCCAGGCCCUCUGCACCCACUCACAGGGACCCAGCACCCCUCUUUCAGCCCAGCACAUGCUUUCAUACUUUGUCUAUGCAGCAAAGACAGGGGAAAGACAAGGAGAAGGAUAUGAACUCAAACAACAAACAUAAUUUCUCAGAUGAAGAUGAGCACAAAAUGUACCCAGCCACAGAUGUCGAUGUUGUCGCUCUCCCUGGCUCAAACACACAUACACAACCAAACACAUCCCUGUUGUCUUGUGUUUUGCUCGUCAUGCAAUGAGGAACACAUGACUUAAAUCGGGUAUGGUGCAUGACCUCUUAUCGGACAAAAGCGUCCCACAGAGAGAGCCGAUGGGGGAGACUGUGCCUCCCCGCCUGUCUGCAGUCAUAAGGUCUCCGUCCCGUUGGCCACGCCGUGUCUCGUGGUUCAAAGACCAUAAAACGUUGGCGGUGUCUUGUCAAUAAAUCAGCUGUUUAGCCUGAGGAGAGUGGCAUUAACAGGGGGGAGGAGUGCAAAAAGACUUCUUUUUAAAAGGCAUGUUUUGCAAGAAUGAAGCCUUUGAAUUUUUUGUCGAGUCCUAUAAAUGUCUCACCUGGGGGCCUAAUGCCUCUCAAUGAGAAUGAUUGGUGUGAAUUAACCCUGAAGCCUCUACAUGUUUAUGCAGAGUUAAAUUAAAAUGUUCCAAUGACAGAAGUUGUAUCUUGUUUUUAUCUCAUUUACUGAUCUCUUUUCAGUGUCUUGCUGAUGAAUUCAUUUCAUUUAUCUGUCUAUGAUGAUGAUAAUAUCUGUAUGUUGGAGUGAUAAGUCUUGUGUCUCACAUCUUACAGGGACCAUUUCUUGACACUCUCCUCAACAUUGCUGGUCAUACCUCACCAUAUCUCAGUUUCAGUGACAGGACUAACUUUCCAGCAGUACUGAUGUUUUCACUGAAACCUCUGCAACAGUUGUGGAGCCCAAUACGGCUAAUACUUAGGAAAAUACCAUAUAUUUUAUGUUGCAUGGUAGGUUUCAUAGGCAGGUGGUUAAAAUGCUUCUGCAGGUGUUAAAACGGCUAAUAAAGCAAACUGUUCCACAACCAGAGCAAGGUAUCUUUUAAGAAAUCAGUGAAACGGAGAGCAGCGAGAAGAAGAGGAGUGGAGAUGAGGGUUAUAAAAGUUUACAACUGAACAUCCUCUCAGAAUGUUCCCUCUUUGAUUUGGUUGAUAACUGCUGGCAAAGUGUAACCAAAAGGGUUAAAUCAAAUUGAGCAGAAAUGUAUGAGGAUAUGUGUGUUUGUGUGUGUCUGUGUAAAAGCCGGCUGUCCCAUCACAAGGUAGCGUCACUGAGAGGCAAUGCCCCCAGGCAGCAGGCCUUAGUCCACUUAGGGCACUUUAAAUAAGUGCAGUGUUCACUAACACAAGCUUACUGGGUUCAUCCACUGUAGAGAUAUGAAAAGGAGUGAUUGUCUGGUGCAAUGCUGAUGGCUAAAUGAAAAUCAAGUGAAAAAGCUUUGAAUCACAGGCCUUUGUGUGACCAUGGCUGAUUGUGGAGCAAAUCGAAGAACCACAGGAUGGAUCGAGGCAUCUAAAUGUAGAUGGCUGUCCCUUUGAGUGAUGGCUAUCUUCAGGAGUCAAUGACUGACUGUGUGGUGUACACAGUGUUAAAGGAAUAAGUGGGGUAAAAUAAGGUCUGUAAAAUGUUUUAUUCUUGGAUUAUGUGUAACAUGUUAAAUAAAGAUUCUGUUCAAAAUAA
Siniperca chuatsi (mandarin fish) is the source of this 5007-nucleotide long non-coding RNA. RefSeq lists it as uncharacterized. The transcript is spliced from 2 exons. The record is from RefSeq and is a predicted model, not a curated record. Lineage: Eukaryota; Metazoa; Chordata; Actinopteri; Centrarchiformes; Sinipercidae.